Long non-coding RNA from Etheostoma spectabile (orangethroat darter), 173 nucleotides. RefSeq lists it as uncharacterized. The record is from RefSeq and is a predicted model, not a curated record. The transcript has 3 exons. NCBI's taxonomy places the organism in Eukaryota, Metazoa, Chordata, Actinopteri, Perciformes, Percidae.
GUGUGUUGUCACGUAUAUAACACAUCUCUGCCGCAGUUUCUUUCUUUGGAUAAUGUCGGCUGAAUACGAUAAUAGAGACAAUGGCCCGGAAGGCAUGGAGCCAGAUGGGAUCAUGAGAGCAACUGGACUGAGAUCACUGACAGUUUUGAUGAGAUGAACUUGCGCGAGGCUCG